Limulus polyphemus (Atlantic horseshoe crab) is the source of this 4690-nucleotide RNA transcript. It is a transcript of the gene named ribokinase-like, with no coding region annotated. The transcript has 10 exons. NCBI's taxonomy places the organism in Eukaryota, Metazoa, Arthropoda, Merostomata, Xiphosura, Limulidae. The record is from RefSeq and is a predicted model, not a curated record.
UUCACGUGAUGUGUGUUAGAAGUGAGGUGUAGAAUGAUAAGACAGAAUGAUCACGAGUAUUUUAAUGAUUGAUCUUUGAGAGAUCGUCAAUGUUUGACUUUGAAUGAAACUGAAAGUUCUCGCUGAACGAAGAAUGGCACAGUUCCCAGAGGCCCCCGUCAUUGUUGCAAUAGGAGGAUGCGUCAGAGAUUUAAUGAGCUAUAGCGAAAGAUUUCCAAAGCCAGGUGAAACACUAAUAGGAACAAACUUUGUCAAAGGUUAUGGAGGAAAAGCAGCUAAUCAGUGUAUUAUGGCAUCAAGGCUUGGGACAUCUACAGCAAUGAUUGGAAAGGUUGGUGAUGAUGACUUUGGACAUCAGAGUAAAGAGAACUUCAAACAAAAUAAUGUGAAUGCAGAGUAUGUGGGGAUUACAAAGGAUGCUGCCACAAGUGUUGCACAAAUCACAGUUGUUAAAGAUGGACAAAACUCAAUUGUCUAUAUUCCGGGAGCUAAUGACUGUUUAACUGUGGAAGACAUAAGAAGUGCUGAGAAUGAUCUCAUAAAGAAAGUAAAGCUUAUGAUUUUGACCUAUGAAAGCAUAUCUGAGGUUAUCCUUGAAGCUUUGAAAAUAGCUAAGCAACAUGGUGUUCGGACUUUGGUAAAUGCUGCACCUGUUAAUCCUGGAGUCUCUGAAGAAAUAUACCCUCUUUGUGAUGUGUUGUGUGUCAAUGAAGUUGAGGCUGAGGUUGAAACAGGACUGUGUGUGGAAUCUAUAGAACAGGCUAAAUCUGCUACCCAGAUGUUGUUGAAGAGAGGCUGUUUCUCAGUAAUUCUAACAUUAGGUCCACGUGGAGCUGUUUUUGCUUCAGAAGAACAACCACAAGCCAUAUAUAUACCAGCUAAGCAGGUGACAGCUGUCGAUACAACUGGUGCAGGAGAUGCUUUCCUUGGAGCAUUGGCCUACUUUAUGACUCAACAUUCCAGUCUUACGAUGAAAGAAUGCAUUGAAAGAUCUUGUGAAGUGGCUGCCAUUAGUGUACAGAAUCUAGGAACGCAGAAGAGUUUCCCAUGGAGAAAAGACAUUCCAGCAGAGCUUUUUUCGUAAUUGCGAGGUUAAAUGCAAAAAGUGUUUAGUGAGAAGAAAAUAAUAUGCUAUACAUUUUUUGUAGUGGGUGUGUCUAAGCUUAUCACAUCAUGAAAAUAUUGUAGAACAGUCACAAUGGUGUAAAGAAUAGGAAACUUAAUUACAUUGAAAAUGAAUAAAACUAACUGUUAUACAAACCACAUCUGUACCUUAGUGAUGAGUAGUUUAGGAUAAUUACUUAUAAGAAAACACAGGUAUUUAAGUAAAAUAAAAGAUUCAAGAAUACGCUUUAAAAGCCCCAAACAAAUUAGCACAGCAUUUCACUGUAAAAUCUGGUUACUUUCCAAGUUGUCAUAAUUUUGGAAAAAUAAGAUUAUUUUCUUCUGUUAAAUUAUUCACUUGUGACUAAAAAUUAUAGUGCCUUGAGAAUGUUUAAAUAAAAGAAUUUAUACAUUUCUGUUUUUCAGUGCAAAGUCUUAUAUCAUGUAUGGUUAUAGAACUGUAUGCUUUAAGUUUGUUUUAUUAAUUUUUCUUUUCUCAACAACAAUAAAAUUUUGUCUGAAACAAAACAAACAAAAAAAAACCUAGGUUUAUAAUGUGGUAUCAUAAGUACAAUAUAAACAUAGAAACAUUUGAUUUCAUUAUAGACAUGUCAGCCAAAAUGGAUAAUUACUUUUGGAUUAUAGGCUACGUACUUUAAUUCUUUACUCAAACCUCGCCAAGCAUGCAAACACUGUCUUGGCUUGUUUUAAUGACACUGAACUUAGUAGGGUCCCUAGCUAAGCAUGCAAACACUGUAUUAGCUUGUUGUAAUGACAAUGAUCUUAGUAUGGUUGGAAUUAAUCACUUUUGUUACUGUAUCUUUGUAACUUUUUAUAGUGAAGAAAUAGUUUAGUAUUGGUUUUAUUGUAACAAAGUGACAAGUUUUUAGUCAAUUCAUUAAACUUUUAUUUGUUGUCCAAGGAUGAAUUUAGUAGUACAUUUUAUAUUUUUAGCAGACAAUGAAAAAUGUUUUUUUGAACUCGUUUCAGUUAAUUCCAGGAAUCCUUGUUAUGAUCACAAAGUAAGAUUGGAUAACCUGACAAAAGGGUGUGGGUUGGCUCCAAAUUUCUUAGCUUGCAAGCUGGUUUCAAAUCCAUGGGAGAUAACAUUAAAUAUUCUCCACACUUAAAGUUAUUGGGUGCAGUCAUUCUCUUAACGUAGAUGUUGGGGGUAGUAAGUGCUGCUUAGUGGCUGCCUUCCCUCUGGUCAGUUGUUCAAAAUUAGGUAGUGAAGCAGAUAGCUUUGGUAGCAUUGUCACAGAUACAAAAUACAACCCUACAAAUCUAAGGAUAUUGAUGAAUUAUAUUUCUGUAAGUUAGGUGUGCAUUAUAUAUGAUUCAAGUAAGUAAUCUAGCAUUUAAAAAAGAUGUAGCAUGAUAUGUUAUGAGCAGAAACGAAACAUCAGUUGUUUUAAAGUUCAAAUUUUGUUUCUUCUUAUAAACCGAAAUGGUGGAGAGUAAUAGACAUGUCCAAACUCAUAUGAGUUAUUGAUUUAAAUAACAUGGAAAAAAUUGAUCAUCAUUACUAAAUUGUACAAACAUAAAUUUGCAUUGUUUAUGGAUACUUAGUAUCUGAUACUAAUUUUGUCUGAGCAGUAAUUUUGUUACCAUAAUUUAAACUUGCAUUUGAGGUAUAUUUCAGAUUGAAAAUUAAAAAUGUUUCCAUAUUUUGAUUUUUGCUACAGUUAUUUGCUAUCCAGAUAAGUGUUUUUAAAAUUACAAAAAUAUUAAUGUCCAAUAUAAUUAAAAUGUAUGGAAUUGUUUCACUUGUACAAUUUGUUCUGAGACAUUCUAAUAGUUCUGUAUUAAUUAUUCCCAAAUUGUGUUUUGUAUGUUUAUUUGUUUGUAGUUGAGCACAAAGCUGCACAAUAGGCUAUCUGUGCUCUGCCCUCCAUGGAUAUCAAAACCCGGUUUCUAGUGAUAUAAGUCUGCAGACGUACUGCUGUGCUAGUGGGGUGCUUGCCUUGUGAGAGCAGCAGAACUUCCUUUAUAUUGCUUUAAAAAGUUCCAUGAAGAUGAGGAGAGGACUUCCUGGUUCCAGUGGUUCUGCUAGUGAUGAUCCUUCUGCUUUCAGCAUCUCUCUUCAAUCUUAGACAGAUUCAAUCUGCAUGCACAAGUUAAGGAGGCAUACAGAAAGCUUCUCAAAACAGCUUGCUGUGGAUGGACAGCUUUUGUCAGCAUUCAAAACUUUAAUUAAAGUGCAAAAACAAAAUGGGGUACAACUAAUUUCAAAUUUUGAUAAUGCCAGUAGAGUGAAAGAAUUUAUUAAUGUUACUGCAGAAGCUAGUCGUGAGAAAGUAGCAGUGAUUUUAUGUUCAUCAGUAGCUUUUGCAGUGCUUAAUGAUAGAAGUCAGGCAAGAAAAACUGGCUCUGAAAAAGCACUGAUUUUCAUUAGAACAGUCAGACAAGGUAUACCAGUUUAUUUCUGUGUUCCCUAAUAGGACAUUGAUAGCUUUGAUGAUGUAGAUGCAAGUAAUCUGAAAAGGAGCAUUGAUGAUGUAUUCAAAGGUGAUGCAAAGGUUUCAAUCCCAACAGAAACAUACUCUUACCUGUUAGUUUCAGCUACAGUUAAUGGAACUUGUGUUAAUAUUAGAGUUUACAAUGGAUUGCUAACAAAACUUUGGUUUCUAGGCAUUUCCCAUAGAGUUGAAUUGGUAUUUAAAGAUAGUGUAUCUACAUCAUUUGCUGAUGUGAAAGACUUCAUGACAGCUAUAUAUAUUACUUAAUCAAAUGAUCUGGAAAGUUCAAAAGGCAUUUUGAGACAACUGCCAGUGCAUUUGGUGUGCAGCAUUUUAAUUUUCCCAAAGUACAUGUUACACAUAAGACGUGGAGUAAAUCAUUUACUGAGUAAUUGGGUAAUUGUUGCUUGAGUAAUAGAAAAGUCCCUUGCCAGUUGAAAGGAGAGAGUAGCACUGGCGAAAUUUCAUGGACUUUUAAACAAAAAUGAAGUAUUUUAAUUUUUUGUCAAAAUGUUUCUUGUACAAAGAUGUGCUGGAUGCAUGUUCUAUUUUCUCUAUGCAGUUUGAAAGAAAACAUUUUAUGAUGUCAGAUACUGCCUAUGGUAGAAAAAUGAAAAGAUACUUUACAGGAUCUCAAGGAAGAAACUUCAGGUACAUGCUUUGAAAAUCUUUUGAAAAAGUUUAAACUUGAAUUGGAAAUGAAAUCAGGUUCCAGGUAUCUUACGACACUUUACUUAAAGCAGAGCCUUACCCACAUACUCGCUGAUCAAAGGCUUAGUUUAAAACAUGCAACAGUGGAGAACCUUUCUAUUGAUUAAAACAAAUGGUUUUGUAUGGGUAUAUGAGGAAAAGGAACAAAUAUUAGAAACAACCUUGGAGAAGUUUAUGGCAAAAAAGGAGGAAAUGGAACUUUGAUACAAAUCCUUCUAACAUGUCUGUAAAAUGUGCAGCCAAAAAAAUAGAAGUCAGACACUUAGAGUGAAAUUGAUUCUGUUGAUGAUGAAGAUUUACGUGAUUAUGGAGAUCAUGAUGAGGACGAUGAAGAUUCUAGCAUGUCUAGUAGAUCAUUUGAUGGGGCUGAAACAGAUGAGAUUAUUUUUCAAGAACUGAUUGUACAGGAAUCAUUU